CCCAGCCUUAUCCCGAGCCGGACUGGACCGGACCGGACUUGGUGGGCACCUCCCCGCGACCCCCGGGCAUGGCACAGGCCGGGAGCUUGGCCGUCUAGAGCCGACAGCCCCGGGACGGGCCAUGGAGAGGGCGAUGCUUUCCGCAAACCAGAGCGCCAAUGACUCCAGCGACUCAGGCUACAGGUGCCAGUUUGAUGAGGACUUCAAGUACAUCCUGCUGCCCUUGUCCUACGGCCUGGUGUGUACGGUGGGGCUGGGCCUCAACGCGGUGGCCCUCUACGCCUUCCUAGUCCGCAUGAAGACGUGGAGCGCCUCCACCACCUACAUGUUUCAUCUGGCCAUAUCCGACACCCUGUACGUGGUGUCCCUUCCGCUGCUGGUCUACUAUUACGCCAGCGGAGACCACUGGCCCUUUGGCAAGGGGCUGUGCAAGCUUGUGCGCUUCCUCUUCUACACCAACCUGUAUGGCAGCAUCCUGUUCCUCCUGUGCAUCAGUGUCCACCGCUUCCUGGGCAUCUGCCACCCUCUGCGCUCGCUGCAGUGGGGCCACGUGCGCUACGCCCGCCGCGUGGCGGCCGCCGUGUGGCUGCUAGUGGCCGCCUGCCAGGCGCCGGUGCUGUUCUUUGUGACCACCACAGAGCGCGGCCCCCGCGUCACCUGCCACGACACCUCGAGCCCGGACCUGUUCGGGGCCUUUGUGGCCUACAGCUCGGUCAUGCUGGUGCUGCUCUUUACCGGGCCCUUCCUGACCAUCCUGGCCUGCUACGCCCUCAUGGUCCGCCGGCUGCUGCGGCCCACCCGUGGGCUCGUUCGCCUGACGCGCUCCAAGCGCCGGUCGAUCCGGAUGAUCGCCGUGGUCCUCCUGGUCUUCGUGGUCUGCUUCCUGCCCUUCCACGUCACCCGCACCCUCUACUACGCCUUCCGCUCCCUCGACCUCAGCUGCCCAGCCCUCAACGCCAUCAAUCUGGCCUAUAAGGUGACGCGCCCACUGGCCAGCGCCAACAGCUGCCUGGACCCGGUGCUCUACUUCCUGGCCGGCCAGUGGCGGGUCAAGGUAUCCGGCGGUACCCGGCCGUCCCCGACUGAGCCCACGCUCACCCUCCAGGGACACGGCAGCCCGGCCAGCCCCCAGCCCGAGGCCAAAGACGCCCAGCUCUAGCCCCACCCUUGGGAGGGUGGACGCAGCCACCCGACGCCCGCUCCGGGUAGCAGACACACAUACACACAUUUGGACAUUGCAGAUGAGAAAGAACCCGUGUGACUGGAGCCGUCAGAGUCAGAAAGAGCUAAUCCGAGCAGGGUCUCUGAAGGAGCCACCUUCCUUUGACAGAGGACAGAGGCUCCAACCCCCACCCUCGAGCGGCAAACUGAAGCCCUUCAUUCCCCUGGCUGCAGGAGAUACUGCGUGUCCUCUCUGACGGCCUUAAAGGAGCUCAUCGACUGGGAUUGGUGGUGCCAUUCUGCAUGGAGGCAGGGGAAUGGACAAGAUGCCCUCUGGAGGGUCUCCCCUGGCCUCGAGAGCAGACGUGACGCCUCGUCCUGGAGAGACAUUGGUUGUGGGGAGAGGUGCAGGCAGCACCAGAUCUGGCUACCAGGGGGUGGUGAAAGGAAGAGAGGCGGCCAUCAGCUUGGGAGCGGGGCUCAGGGUGCAGCCACAGACCCGGCUCCCCGCGGGGCGGGGUCUGCUGGACGGCGGGGACCCCACUGGCUGUAUGUGGCUAAUAGGACCCUCACAGGGGUCAGGCUCUAGACCCCCCAAUUCCCUUUCAGACUGGACCAUGUUGCCCGGGUGCACCGAGAGCUCUCAUCGCCAGCCGCCGUUUUGAAUAUCUCGCCCCCUCUGUCUGCGAUCUUCCUGAAGCCACCCUUCUAAGCCCAUCGCCCAGUUGCUACCUGCUGCAGGCCAGACUGGUCUGGCAGCUCUGGCACGUGGUCAGAUUGGGCUUCCCCAGGCCUUCAACCUGUCUGUGUCUUGCACCGCUGACCCGCAGAGCCCUCACCCUCGCCAGGCAGUUGCUGUUGGGGGUAUCACAGCCGUCCACUGGCCAGUGAUGAAGGGCUCUGAACAGGGGCACAGGGAGGCAGCAAACCAAAGAGGAGCCCACCUGCCAUGCCCUGUCCAGCCCAUGAGCUAGUCUGAGACCCUCAGGUGACACUGGUGACCCCAGAGUUGGAAGCCACUCUGAUAGGUCAUCCAGUGCAGGCGCCCGGCCCCUUCCUCUAGCGGAAAGGAAGUCCUUCCCUGUAUCCCCUCACGUUCUCUCCUGCUGGGAUCUACCCUUCUCCAUGACCUCCUUACCUCUUUUCCACCUCCCUGUCUGGGCCCAGGACAGAACAUUACUCACUCUCAGCCCUCCAGGGUACCUGGAGGCAGGGCCAUCUGCCUGGGGUUCCUGACCAACCCAAACCCCGAUCAGGUGACCAGGCAGCUGGAACCGGGUCCCAGAACCUCACACCAGGGCCUCAGGCCAGCCCUCCUGUCCCCUUUGGAUUGGGAUAGUCAAUUUUGGGAGAUCCCAGAAGGAGCUGCAAAGGUGAAUACCACUGUUCAUUCAUGCACUGGGCCCCACUGUGGGCAGAGCGCUCAACAGGGAGCACUCUCUGGAAAGAGUGCUGUACUGGAGGCCAGCUAAUCUAUCAAUAGUAUUUAUUGAGCACUGACUUCAUGCAGACCACUAAACAAAGCCCUUGGGAAAGUAGAAUACAACGGAGUUGGUAGAAUCAAUCCCGGACCUCAAGGAGUUUUGCUGUGUGCAGCCCUCUAUACUGACCACCUACUCUGAGCAGAGAAUGCCAACUGGGUUCAAGACCCAGUGCUGGGCGACUGCUGUGGGUAGAGCACUGGAUUAGGCACCUGAUACGUGCGUGGUGCCACACUGACAUGGGUGGGGUACUUUGGAGAUCACUGCAUUAGGCACUAUGGAGCCACAGUAAAAUUCCCUGCCCUUGAAGAGUUUGUAAUCUAAUGAGGGAGACACCAGUUGUAUACACACAGUGGGAGCAGAAAGAAAAAUAAUUACUGUGGUGUACACCAGACAUUGGGAAAAAUAAGUAAAUGACUACAGAAAUGGAAUAAACAAAUUAAUAAA
This is an RNA transcript of Tachyglossus aculeatus (Australian echidna), 3089 nucleotides long. It is a transcript of the gene named P2Y purinoceptor 2-like, with no coding region annotated. The record is from RefSeq and is a predicted model, not a curated record. NCBI's taxonomy places the organism in Eukaryota, Metazoa, Chordata, Mammalia, Monotremata, Tachyglossidae. The transcript is spliced from 3 exons.